RNA transcript from Homo sapiens (human), 3860 nucleotides. It is a transcript of the gene named activator of HSP90 ATPase homolog 2, pseudogene, with no coding region annotated. NCBI's taxonomy places the organism in Eukaryota, Metazoa, Chordata, Mammalia, Primates, Hominidae. The record is from RefSeq and is marked validated. The transcript has 5 exons.
GCCUUCUGGCAGUUUCUGGGAGCUGCGAACGCGCCGCCCCGGGGCUCGGCGGCCGGAAACGCUGGCUUCGGAGCCUUAGGCGCCGCGGCCUUUCCUUGUUUUCCGCCCAGUCCACGCCGCCAUGGCCAAGUGGGGCCAGGGGAACCCCCACUGGAUCGUGGAGGAGCGGGAGGACGGGACCAACGUGAACAACUGGCGCUGGCGCGGCUGGCGGCGGCCUCCUUCCGGGAUCUGGGGAGGGCCGGGCCGCGGGAGCCGGGGCUGCCCUGGGGUCUGUGCGGGGCCGCGGGGCCAGGGGGUCAGGGGGCCGCCCCCCCUCAGCUGCUGGACGCAGGGCUCGGCCUUCGCCUCUCGGCUCGGGAGAGUCCUUGAGUACGGAGACCGGCUAGGAGGGUUGCAGCUGCCUCUUUUUGAAAGUUGGGUUGGGCCCCAAGAGUGACUUCCGACAGACCUUUCCACUCCCACCGUCUGUGGCCUGAGGGCCUUCCCUUCUCCUCCCGCCCACCCCUCUGGAUGUUUCGGGGAGUUAGAAGGGAGCUGGAUUGAGAGACUGUGUUAGGGGCGGGGGUAUGGAACGUAGUGGAAAGGGCAGAAAUUUGGAUCUCAGUUCGCGCCCACCCCGCAGGCGCCUCCCGCGAGCCGGGCCCUCUGUGAGUGAGACAAGCUCCCCUUCCUUUACGCGCCUCACCUGGCGCGUGGGGAGAGGUCGGCAGCCCUCCGCCGCAGAACCUCCGGAAGGGAUGUCCUCUGCCCUGCGCCUCUGGCCGGGGCUGUGGUCCCUCCAGGCCGUCGAGGGGAUGCUGAGGCCGGUCCCCAGAGGAGCAUGACUUGGCUGGUCCGGAGGAGCUCUGAGGGCAUGGGCAAUCUUGGCUCGCUGCAACCUCAGCUUCCAGAGUUCAAGCGAGUCUCCUGCUUCAGCCUCAUGAGUAGCUGGGACUACAGAUGCGUGCCACUACGUCCGUCUGAUGUUUGUAUUUUUAGUAGAGACAGGGUUUCACCAUGUUGGUCAGGCUGCUCUCGAACUCCAGAUCUCGUGAUCCGCCCGCCUGGGCCUACUAAAGUGCUGGGAUUACAGGCGUGAGCUAGAUCUGACUUUCUAGUGUCCUAGCCUUGGCCCGAUGGACAUGUCAUUUCUCUCAGCUCGUUUCUGUCCCCUAAAGUGAGAAUAUUGCCUGGGAAGAUUACAUUAGACGAUGUAUAUGCGAAGACACUUGAUAGCUGGUAUUGUCAUGAUUCUGAUUAGUUCACUACUGCUACUUUCCCUGUGGCCUAGGCUUUGCCUAUUUCCAGUGGGCGAGCUAGCUAGAUCCUCCUCCCUUAAAUAAGCCAGUGUUUUUAAGACAGAAUACUACUUGCAUAGUGGACAAUAAUAUCUUAAAGAACUGAGCAGGAUGAAAAGAAUUUGAUAGAAAGCAGGUUUGAGGAGCACAUUGGAGGUUGGCAGGUUUCGAGGCUGCUUGAGAGGACUUGGGCCGAUCUGGGCUGGGCUUGGACGUGACCCUGGCACCCAGGCAGGUGGAUCCCAGCUGGGGCUUCCAUUCACGACUUUCUGGUCCCUGGCAGGACAGAGCGGGAUGCCACCAGCUUGUCCAAAGGGAAGUUCCAGGAGCUCCUGGUGGGCAUCGUUGUGGAGAAUGACGCUGGCCGCGGCGAGAUCAACGAGUUGAAGCAGGUGGAAGGGGAGGCUUCGUGCAGCAGCCGCAAAGGAAAGCUGAUUUUCUUCUAUGAGUGGAACAUCAAACUGGGCUGGAAAGGCAUCGUUAAAGAAUCUGGAGUGAAGCACAAGGGAUUGAUUGAAAUACCCAAUCUUUCUGAGGAAAAUGAAGUAGAUGACACUGAGAAUUUACAACGGGAAUGAUUUUACCAACGAAAGCUAUGGCAACCCAGGAAUUGACUGUCAAAAGAAAACUGAGUGGGAAUACCCUGCAGGUUCAGGCCUCAUCUCCAGUGGCACUGGGUGUAAGGAUUCCCACUGUGGCUCUUCACAUGAUGGAACUGUUUGACACAACUGUAGAGCAGCUGUAUAGCAUCUUCACUGUAAAGGAGGUAAGUAACUCCCUAAGCUAGCAUGUUAAGUGCUGACAUUGGGAGAAAAUACAUUACAAAGAACAGGAGCUGGUUUUUGGUUUUCCUUGUGGCUGUGUUUUUGAUUGAAGGGAUGUGGGAUGGUGGUGACAGAAGUCUGAGCAUAGUUUCUGAAUAAUUGGAGGGGAGAUGGGCAUUCUUUGGGACUAUGUCCGCAUUACAUUGAGUUUUCUCCCUCUAGGAAGAGAGAGUUUGUGUUUUAUUUUCUGUAAGUAAAAGCUACAUGUUUAGGAUUUUUAAACCAUAUUAAUUGUUAUAUUUUGUAUUUCAUAAUUAUAUUAUGUGUUAGUGUGUACUGGAAUAACAUGUUUUAUUUGGUUAGUUGGUGCAAAAGUUUUCUAAAUCUACUGCUGUAUUAGAAACUGAAAAGGGAGGGAAAUUCCAGAUGUUUGAUGGGAACAUCACUGGUGAAUAUCUAGGAUUGGUAAGUAGACUCAAGGUUGAAGAAGUAAGGUGGGAUUAACUCUUAAUAUUACUUUUUGUAUAUGCUGUUUUUAGCACCGAAAUCACGAGGGUCUGUGUUGCCUCAACCUUAACAGCAGCCCUCUGUUCUGGUUACUAUUACUGUACUUAAAACAUUAUUAUAUAUUCCUGCUGUCCUUGAUGUUACUGCUGUUCUGAGACAUUUUGGCAAUAAAGACAAUUAUCAGUGGUGCUGAUGUAUAAACUGGAAGAAGGACCGUAUGUUGUUCAUUGAUUCUUCUAGGAGUUUCAAUGAAAGGAUUUUUCUGUGUUGUAUUGUGGGAAGUCUUAAAAGAUUUUCAGUGGAAUUUCCCCUCUCUUUUCAGUUAACAAAUAAGAAGAUCAUCAUGAAAUGGAGAUGUGGGAACUGGCCAGAAGAACACUAUGCCAUGGUUGCACUGAAUUUUGUGCCUACUCUAGGGCAAACAGAAUUACAAUUGAAGGAGUUCCUAUCUAUCUGUAAAGAAGAGAACAUGAAAUUCUGUUGGCAGAAGCAGCAUUUUGAAGAAAUAAAAGGUUCACUGCAGCUGACCCCCCUAAAUGGUUGAAUUAAAAUUUAUUAUAAGGCAUUACUUUUUGUAAGCGGAAAAAGUGUCACAUUUACCUCUUCCCUAUCUUUUGUUUAAAAGGACUGUCUUUAUUUUAUAUUGGAUGAAAUCUAUGAACAUAUAUACAAUGUAAAGCAUUGUUUGACUCUUUAUUAUAACUAGACACUGCAUUGAUUUAAAAGUAGCAAACAACCUGAAAUUAAGUAUUAACCUGACCUUCCAUCGAUAUUCCUCUGGAAAUAGGUAAGUCCUGAGUGCAGAUAGUUGAUGUUUCCCAAGCUGAAGCUUGUCCUAUAGCAAGCUUGCUUGCAGCUGUACUUUUAGUUCAAGAUGACAAAAAAUAAAUGGCAUGUUGACACUAUUCCUUUAUUUUACUUUAGGGUUUUUAAGGUGUGUAGAUCUUAGGUCGUAAAACAGUGGUAUAUUGCAUUCAAAAGCAUGUUGAGGUGAGGGCAAAUUGGCUGUGUUUUGCUCCACAUCUCCCUGCACAUCUCCCUGCUGUGGUUUUGCACUUCGGUGUGGAGAGGAUUGAGAAGUCUGUGGGGACACAUUAGUUCUGUGGACUGCUGGUAACACUUCCAGUGAAACAGCAUAUAAUGGAUAAAUGUUUCCCCCCUCUUUCACGGUUUUCUCACUACUUUCACCUGAGAAGACUGAAGCAACGUAUGUAAACAAAUGAAAAGUCAUCACAAUCAGUUUAAUUAAGUGCACAGAAUAGCAAUCAAUCAAUCAGUCAUGUCAAUAAAAAUAAAACAAUUAUUUUUA